This is a non-coding RNA of Sturnus vulgaris (Common starling), 1822 nucleotides long. The record is from RefSeq and is a predicted model, not a curated record. Lineage: Eukaryota; Metazoa; Chordata; Aves; Passeriformes; Sturnidae.
GUGGGGCAGGGGUAAAUAGCCCAUAUAAUCCUUCUCCUCUCCACACUUCUGGCCCAUCUUCUCCCAAUUGUCUUUCAAGUAGAUAAGAUAAUUUACAACUUAAUUAUUUUCUCUAAUUAUUACGUGCAGCACAGGAGAACGAAAAUCACUUAGUAUGGAAAAAUUAUGGUUUGUUAUGAUACGUGAACGUGCUAUUGUGGGUUAGCAAGUUCCAUACAUUUAACUACUGUCCAUUAGUGUGCUUUAGACUGUGAAUUCAGAGGGAUUUGACUCAGUCCUUUGACCAGCAUUUGUUUAGUCAGCUUCUGUAUUCCCUUCUACAAGUUAUAAGCCUCAAGCCCAGUACACAUCUGCAUUUAGUGCCUUUAGCAAAGAGAUUUAAAGCCUCAAAAAUAUCAUUAUGUACAAGAGGCAUGCAGGGUGGGUGAGAUAAAAUAAUUGGUAGCAACAUUUCUCCAUUGGUGAGCAAAGGCCAACACAGCAGUUUAAACCCCAGAGCCCUUGGGCAGAACCCUAGAAAAUGUUCUGUUAUUAGCAGUGCCUUUUGGUAGGUGAAUAAAUGAACUCCUGAAUGGUGUUGGUGUAACUGCUGUGACUGUAAACAUAUGUGAAAGGAGAGAAAGCAAUCAUACAAAAACCAUGAUGACUGGAAUUUGUUGUCAGUUUUUCUUUUAAAAUAUUUCCACACAUUGAAUGCUACUUUCUUUCAUGGUAGAGUAGAUCACAGGAAAUUCAUAAUUGAUUAUGUUAUUGUAAAUCGUUUGCAGGUGAGAGAUAUUUUGUAUUUAUUACUUGUGCAGAAUCCAACAGUCAUGAGAUAAAAGGCUGAAUGGGAAUUUCACUUGAUGGAACACAUCAGAUACUCAUCUGUUGUGGGCUGCCAGUAAUGCAGCAGAAAUUCCAAAAGGAAAGGUAUUAGGUACAAAAUUCAGACCAACUGCAGCCUACGUUUCUGGAACUGGACAACAUGAAUCAGGUAAUCAUUUGUCUAUAUGUCUAUGCACAGUGUCAGCAUUGUGGGGUUGAGUGCAGGUGAUGUGGCCUUCUUACAGAUAGGAAUUCAUCUUCUUCCCUUCUGUUUCACAGAAUUGGUGCAAGAGAAGAGCCAAGCCUUCAAAAGCAGCUGCUGGAGGCUUUCAGAGUCCACAGUUUAUCAUCCUAACAUAUUCCAGAGAAAAUCACUGCAGAGUUGCACCUUCAUCAUGGCUUUCUUUUUUUUUUUUUUUAAAGAAGAACAGUAACUGUAAAAACUUGCUUUUGCAUAUUCAAAAAUGCCUUUGAAAACGUCGGUGCAAAGAAGGAAGUCACUGCAGAGAGUAAUUUCAGACACUUCAGUUUCCAGUGGAAAUGCAUAAACUGCUGAGAGGGGGCUGAACUGGUGGUGGGGUGAACAUUCUUUAGAAACAGUACAAAAUUACACUGAACCAUCAUGUUGAACAUGCCUAGCUGCAGAAACCUGCUGAGGUCAAUUAAAAUCUUGAUAUUCAUUUUCAUAGGUUUCAGAUUAACCUCAUCUUUAUUUUGUGGAAUUAUAUUACGAUGGAUUUAUUUUAUCCUCGGGCUUACGCGCUUCUGUCUUCACACUUAUUGUUAAGACUUCCAAUAAUGCUGGUUUUAAUUUGGCAUGCAAGUUCUAUUCCUCCCUGUGAGAAAUACGUAUAUAAUACAAAUAAAAGCCAGAAAGUGGUUACCUGAAGAUGAUGUUCUAAAGAAGAAAUGGUUGCCUGAAGUAAUGUUCUAAAAUCCCAGGUUUCUGUCUGAUGGAAAUAUGUUGUACUUUGACUCUAAGUUGUUUAAAUAAACAUCCCUUAUUAAAUAAAAA